RNAcentral lists this ribosomal RNA (229 nucleotides) under uncultured bacterium. RNAcentral describes it as "partial 16S ribosomal RNA". It matches the Rfam family "Bacterial small subunit ribosomal RNA", at positions 568 to 796 of the family's 1533-position model. The record is from RNAcentral.
UGCGUAGGCGGAUUAAUAAGUCAGUGGUGAAAACCUGCAGCUUAACUGUAGACUUGCCAUUGAUACUGUUAGUCUUGAGUACGGUCAAGGUAGGCGGAAUGUGUAAUGUAGCGGUGAAAUGCUUAGAUAUUACACAGAACACCGAUUGCGAAGGCAGCUUACUGGGCCAUUACUGACGCUGAGGCGCGAAAGCGUGGGGAGCGAACAGGAUUAGAUACCCUGGUAGUCC